RNAcentral lists this long non-coding RNA (1038 nucleotides) under Callithrix jacchus (white-tufted-ear marmoset). RNAcentral describes it as "lncRNA (ENSCJAG00000069904.1)". Lineage: Eukaryota; Metazoa; Chordata; Mammalia; Primates; Cebidae. The record is from RNAcentral.
AGGGAACAGACACAGUAAACCCACGGCAGCCAUGGAGCAGAGCUCCAGAUUCUGCAAAGCCACAGAGCCCGGGGGCCCAGCACCAGGGCAGAGGCAGAAACUCCAGCCAGGGACAGCCUCUGGGGACGUGAUGAGAGUUCAGUCCUCAGGCCCAAGCCAGGCUCUGGGGCUGGGAGAAAGGCAGGCUGCGGAGAACCAGACCAGGCACACAGAAGCCCGCUCAGCACCUGGGCCAGCGGCGAGGCUGGCCGGCUGUGUGGGGAGCUGCCCACUCCAGCUGCUUCCGUCUCUCUGCCCAGGCUGGAAGGAAAGGCAGAGGCCGGGAGGAAUUUGCCUGUGGAGCUAGCUCAGCUCCGCUGAAGAGAGCUGGAGACAAAGGCCGCCAGGAUGGUACAGAAGGGCUGGUCCUCAGCGCUCACAGCGUCUCGUGUACAGUAAGAGGGAAAGCAACUCCCUGCUUAAGGGAAAGUAGACUCUGCCCCACGUGCUGUCGGACUGUCCCGUCAUUAGAAGGAGCGUUCGGACACAGCCAUGCUGUAAUGGGAGUGGAGAAGGCAGCUGCUCACAGAGGCUGCACCUGGUUCUCAUCCCAUGUGGAGUACUGGAGGUGGCAAGUCAACACCCACCAUUUGAAGGGGCUGCUUUUGAGACUAAGGGGUCUCGUUGUCGCCCAGGCUGGAGCGCAGGGGCGUGAUAUAAGCUCACUACAGCUUCGACCUCUUGGGCUCCAGCGAUCCUCUCAAGCAGCUGGGAUUGCAGGCGUGUGCCACCAUGCCCCGUUCAUUUUCGUAUUUUUUGUAGAGAUGGGGUUUCUCCAUGUUAGUCAGGCUGGUCUUGUACUCCUGAGCUCAAGCUCCUGCCUGCCUCAGCCUCCCAAAAUGCUGGAAUUACAGGCAUGAGCCACCACGCCUGGCCAAUAUACUUUAUUUUAAAAUCCUCAAUAAAUUGAAAGAAUUAAAGAAUAAAAAAUUCCACUUCAAAGAAGCAGAAACUCCGUUCGUUAUGCUCUGUUUGCUACAAAUCUCUCUAAAAUGAUGC